This 1591-nucleotide long non-coding RNA is filed under the name Sinocyclocheilus grahami. Its description in RNAcentral is "lncRNA (ENSSGRG00000043262.1)". Lineage: Eukaryota; Metazoa; Chordata; Actinopteri; Cypriniformes; Cyprinidae. The record is from RNAcentral.
GGGUGAACUAACCCUUUAAAAAAAAAACCAUUUGUAAACAAAAAACUUAAUUGUUCAUGUGUUUAUUCAACAGGAAAACACAGUGUGCACACAAUACACAGUUUGCUCUUUCCAACCCAAAGCUAUUAACCAAGACAGAGUCUCUUAAUGGCGGCAUUCUCAACCACAGUGGUCCUUGGAGAGCUGAAAUGAAGGAACUAUUCUCCAACACAGGCACAAAAGAAUAUACAUCAUUCAUGUCCUCAGUUCAGAAGCCCAGGCCUAAGAAGAAAUCUCAAAAGGAUGGCCUUGCGAGACGUGAAGUGUUGAAACCAGGGAACCUGCCUCCCCCACCUGAGCCCCCUCCUGUAACGGAGGACCCACUCAAGCACCUGACAGACACACUGGACAAUGGCGGGAGCAGGAUGCCUCCACACCACAGAGAGAGAAGAUCAGACCGCAGAACAGCUGCACAGUGGAGCACGGAAGAUGAAGAUUUAAUCCAGUAUUUCAAAGCAAACCUGCUGUCCAGCGGUCAGAUGUCAAGCCACUGUUCCCUCUCCAGAAGCUCUGCCUCUCACUCCUCCGCAACCUCGCGUUCCUUGGGGGCAGGAAGGAGGAGAAAUGAGAACAUGAUAUGAGGAGAGAAGGUUGUCCUGUUGUUCACCACUCUACAUGCAACAUACGCCAUGCAGUGUAUAUGCCUCCGCGCUCUGGUCCUUCACCUGUUUUUUUGUUUGUGUUUUUUUAGAAAGGUUUUUUAAAUGAUCCAUUGUUGUCCUACCUCUGUAUGUAUAUAUUUUUACAAUGUUUUUAUGUGAGGAAAAAGGCAUGCCGGAAGGUGGCCAUUUUAUUAUUUAUUAUUAUUUAUUGUAUUUAUUCAUUUAAAAAGAAAAUCAAAUGUUUAAAAAAAAAUGACAGAAAAUUUUAGAUGAACAUGAUGUUUGAAUGUAUAUGGCGCAUACAUGUAUGCCUCAGUGUCUACAUGUAAUAAAAAGGUUUCAACAUUUUUGUGGACAAAUAUAACAGAUCAUCAGGCACAGUCUAUGUGAACAAACCAUGCAAUGAUACAUUAGUAAGCCUAUAGAAUACCAAAUGUUUGUUGUUGUAAAUCCUCGCUAGGACUGUCUCCUUACUAUCCUGUGCUCACCUAAAGGGGUUUCUUUUCUCCUGGAGAAUGAUUCACACCAUGUCAGACUGUUUUCCACUGAUGCAUCAAUCAUUUGCAGUUUUACAUGUUCGGAUUGCAUACAAAACCCAAUAAAACUCAUGUUCUAAGACUUGUUUUACAGUACUGUUACUGAUAUGGAUUUCUUUGUCUAUUAUUUUGUCAAUAACUGUGCACUUGGGUUUGGAAUUCAUGAAAAUGUAACACGUAAUUCUCAUUAGUGUCCAUGUUCGCGUGUUCAUGAAAGACUGUCGGUCUGUGUAUUAAAAUGCGGUCACAAAUCACGUUUGUACGGCAAAAAAUCUGUGAGAAACACAAGAGGAAUCCAAAACUCAACAGGAAUCCAAGUAAUUGUGAAUUUCACAGUGAUUCAUAUCGAAAUUAUUGUAUUUUGCCAGCGAAAAUUUGCCAUUUCAAAUCGGAUUAAAGUCUGUUAAAACAUGC